This 497-nucleotide ribosomal RNA is filed under the name uncultured bacterium. RNAcentral's name for it is "partial 16S ribosomal RNA". It matches the Rfam family "Bacterial small subunit ribosomal RNA", at positions 28 to 507 of the family's 1533-position model. The record is from RNAcentral.
GAUGAACGCUGGCGGCGUGCCUAAUACAUGCAAGUCGAGCGAACAGACGUGGUGCUUUCUCCUCUGACGUUAGCGGCCGACUGGUGAGUAACACGUGGAUAACCUACCUAUAAGACUGGGAUAACUUCGGGAAACCCGAGCUAAUACCGGAAAAUAUAUUCAACCGCACUGUUCAAUCAUGUAAUACGGUUUUGCUGUCACUUAUAGAUUGAGCUGCGCCGCAGUCGCUAGAUGGGGAGGUAACGGCGUACCAAGCCAACGAUGCGUAUCAGACCUGCGAGGGUGCUCGGCCACACUGGAACUGAGACGCGGUCCAGACUCCUACGGGAGGCAGAAGUAGGGAAUCUUCAGCAAUGGGCGAAAGCCGGACGGAGCAACGCCGCGGGAGUGAUGAAGGUCUUCGGAUCGUAAAACUCUGUUAGUAGGGAAGAAGAAAAGUGUAAGUAACUAUGCACAUCUUGACGGUACCUAAUCAGAAAGCCACGGCUAACUACGUG